Molecule: ribosomal RNA, 486 nt
Filed under: uncultured bacterium
Lineage: Bacteria
Description: partial 16S ribosomal RNA
Rfam family: Bacterial small subunit ribosomal RNA
Source: RNAcentral
GAUGAACGCUGGCGGCGUGCCUAAUACAUGCAAGUCGAACGCUGGAAAUCUAGCUUGCUAGAUUGAAGGAGUGGCGAACGGGUGAGUAAUACAUAAGCAACCUACCCACGAAGACUGGGAUAAUCUCUGGAAACGGGGACUAAUACCGGAUAGGUAAUCGGAAGGCAUCUUCUGAUUAUUAAAGGUUAAAAACACUGGUGGAUGGGCUUAUGGCGCAUUAGUUAAUUGGUGAGGUAACGGCCCACCAAGACGAUGAUGCGUAGCCGGCCUGAGAGGGUGAACGGCCACAUUGGGACUGAGACACGGCCCAGACUCCUACGGGAGGCAGCAGUUGGGAAUUUUCGGCAAUGGGGGAAACCCUGACCGAGCAACGCCGCGUGAGUGAUGACGGCCUUCGGGUUGUAAAGCUCUGUUGUAAGGGAAGAACGGUAGAUAGAGAAUAUCUAAAUGACGGUACCUUACCAGAAAGCCACGGCUAACUACGUG